Long non-coding RNA from Sardina pilchardus (European sardine), 2552 nucleotides. RefSeq lists it as uncharacterized. NCBI's taxonomy places the organism in Eukaryota, Metazoa, Chordata, Actinopteri, Clupeiformes, Clupeidae. The transcript has 5 exons. The record is from RefSeq and is a predicted model, not a curated record.
UUCUCUUGCCUUUCCUUUUUUUUUCCCAGACAGAUCAUGAUCUGGGACACCAAACCGGUUUUUGAAGUUCAGCAUUUUGAAACUGUAGCUGCUUUGGUUUUGAAUGGUUGCCUAGGGGCGACAUUGUGUUUUCUCUGCUCUCUCUUUUUUUUUCGGAAGGAUACGCUUAAGCUAUCUGACAGCUGAGGGUGAGACUUAACACGUCAAGGCAUUCACCUAGUGGGAACUACAAAGACACAGAUACAGACGGAAGUGGGGAGGGAGGAAGAGUGGAUGAAGAAGUAAGCUGCUGGUUCUCCUCUUUUCUCACAAGUGCUUCAUCUUUUUUGAUGCAUCGGGUGCUGUUGGCAUUGUUGUUAUUGUUGUUGUGCAUGUUUAUGUUGUUGUUUUUUUGUCUCUCAUCUCUUUUAUUUUGUUGCUGUUCCUUAUCUCUCAUGACUUUUUUUUUUUUCUCCCAAAACUCCUUCUAUAGCCCUUCACGACACACGCUCAAAAGAAACAAGACUCUCCUCUGUUAAAUCCUCUGUUAAAUAUUGACUGUGUUUUCUUGUUGACACCUCUGUGAACUUGCGCGCCCUCUCGGCUAACAAUGGCUUCAGGCUCCCUGCAUUGAUUUUACCCACAGUCACGCACUUCCAAAUGCCAGGAGGAGAACCAAAGGGACGGGAGGGGUGGUGGGGUGUUGAAAGAUCAGUGGAUAGGCUGGUUGUUGUUCUUGUUUUUGUGGCCAAAUGAUCCCCCACCAACUCCCCUUGACCUUUUGGGAUGUUAAGGCCUUACCUCCCUGGGGGUAGAUUUGGGUGGAUUGGGGGGUCGUUUGACGAGAGGAGGAGAUCUGACACUGACUGCCAUGACAAUUACCAGCUCCCCUUCCUUCAUCUGAUACGCAUUCGACUGUCAAUCAAGCUGGCCGGCCGAGUAAGGAGAAAGCUUGAGAUAUUUCAGAAGUUUGGAAGUUCCUACAUUUUAUACAUUCCACAUUCCAAAACUACACACCAGCUACAGCAAUUAAUCUACUUUUAUUAGACUUAAUGGAAUGAGUGAUAAUUGUGGGACCUGAACCCACCAGAUGCAAGUGCUCAAUAUCAUCAAUCAUUCGGUGUAUGAAUUACAUAUUUUUUGUUUGUAUCUAAAAUUGUUGCACAUUUACAUAUGAAAACAUUAUUGCAGAUUUCAAAUAUCCUCAAGGUCUGAGGUCAGAGUUUGCAUAGCUAAGUGAGCAGUUGAAAACGCUGUGCGCAUGUUAGCUACUUCGGAAAUGAACUGUAGGACAAAAUCAUGUUGAGCCCAUGCUGAGGGCAAAUAAAUUUGCUCUGUGCAUAGGGCCAACAUGACUCUGCCCUGUGAAAAUAAAUGUGUUGUUAUAGAUGGAUGUUGUGAGGUGUAAGUGUUCACUGAUGAUACUGUGGAGUGUGUACUGGGACUGGGCGCCACACAGCCACAGCCUAAUAUAACCAACCUCAGGCAAUAUAAAGAUAGGGCCUAUACAUGAUAUUUAAUAGUGCAAACCGUACCAAAUAAUGGAUUACCUGUCUCGAAAAUAAAAAGACAUCCUUACAUUCUUAAUGUAAUUCUUUUUAUAAUGGUGUAUAACCAACAAAGUCAAAGCAUAAAAUGCUUAGCAAUGUCUUCACGAUUCAAUAUUUUUCCCCCUUUUUUCACUAUUGAUUAUAUUAGAAUUUAGUGUGUUUAAGUGUUAAUGAACCACUUAAAUCUUCUUGAUUUUGGGCAAAAGUUCAUUUCAUUUUCCAUUUAUUUUUAUGAAGCUGUUUUAUGUGAUGGAUUUCUUCUCUGUUACCCAGUGGGAAAUCUUACUGGAAAGACUGAACACCAAGUGUGCCAUCCAGUACUUUGCAACAAUUGCAUGUAUCUGGUGACAAGAAGAAGCAAGAGCCACAGGCUGUAGGAAGACUUCAGGGUUCUCUGGAAGACCAGAUUAUUGCUGCCAAACCGCUGCUGGAGGCUUAUGACAUUAUGUGACCUCAUACAGUUUAAAUUCAGCAGAAUUGGAAAACUGGCUAGUGCAGAUAUUGAGACUUACCUGCUGGAGAAGUUUGGAGUUUCAUUCCAGUUUCCAGAUGAGAGAGACUACCACGUCAGAUGAUGGCCAGCAACAUGCCUGAACUGAUUGUGGCCAAUGGCCGUCUUUCAAUCCUGGAAUAGGAGUGCAUGUUCCCCGAAGCCUCUGACACCACUUUCAAGAACAAGCUGUAUGACCAGCAUCUUGGCAAGGCCAAUGCUUUCCAGAAGCCCAAGCCUGCCAAAGGCAAGGCUGAGGCCCACUGCUCCCUGGUGCACUAUAUGCUGGCACUGUGGAGUACAACAUCGCUGGCUGGACAAGAACAAGGAUCCACUGAAUGAGUCUGUGGUGCAGCUGUAUCCGAAGUCAUCAUGUCAAACUGCUGCUGGUCCUGUACUCACCUGCCAUUGAGGGUAACCAAAUCAACAUCAAGUCUAAAAGCUGAUGAGGAAUUAUCCUUUGUAUUAUUAAUUACUUAAUUCAUCUUUUGCAUGGAGAAUGGUGGUGGUAAGAAGAAGGGUGUACCUUGAAA